UGAGAGAAGCCCAGUUUGCUAACAAUUACAAGACAGCGUGAUGCGUGUUAAAAUUCUAGUUGUGAACAGAAUGUGGUGGGAGUUCUGGCCAGGUCAAGGUGUAUGCUGGUCUGGCCAAGAGGAAGAGGAGGAGGAGGAGAAGGAGGAGCUGGGGGCCGGAGACUGCUUCCUAGAGGAGGGGUUUUGUGCAGCUCUGAAUCCUGCCUACCAGUUACACCUGUGAAGGACAGGCCAUGACUAAAGCAAUUCAAGUGAUAGCGAACAUCUUCCUCCAGCCUGUUCUUUGUGUGCAACCCCAUGCUGUCCGCUUCGCCCCUCUGGAGCAGCCUGCCUUUGCAAUGAAGCUCCAGACUUUCUUCUCUUUUCUCUCAUGUGCACACAGACACACCAUUUUCCAAGGUAAGAUACAAAUUUAAUGUGUAUAUACUAUAUACAUAUGGCAUUAUAAUUUAAAUGUCAAAAUUUAC
Molecule: long non-coding RNA, 467 nt
Organism: Tupaia belangeri chinensis (Chinese tree shrew)
Lineage: Eukaryota; Metazoa; Chordata; Mammalia; Scandentia; Tupaiidae
Exons: 3
Source: RefSeq, a predicted model, not a curated record